RNAcentral lists this transfer RNA (64 nucleotides) under Pelecotoma fennica. RNAcentral describes it as "tRNA-Asn". Lineage: Eukaryota; Metazoa; Arthropoda; Insecta; Coleoptera; Ripiphoridae. The record is from RNAcentral.
UUAAUUGAAACCAAAAAGAGGUAAAUCACUGUUAAUGAUAAAAUUGAGUCCCACUCCAAUUAAA